CUUAUUACAAUCGUUGGAUUAAAAGCAAACUCGCGCGAGAUUAACGACCGUGAUUUAAUUUGGCAAUUCGUUGGAUUCAACCGUUUCUCUCUCCUCUUUCUCAUAUCAAUGACGCCAUUUUCUCUCUCCUCAAGCAUUAUUCAAGGUUCCUCAAAUCAAUCAACAGCUCUAAUAUCAGAAAAAGUUGCUACAAUUUACAUACUUCUUCAAUAUUGUGCUGAAUCCGUUGCAAAAUUUCUCAACAUUAGAGGACUUGGUUUGUUUCUUCUGGCUAUUUGAGUUGCUUAUUAUGUAAUUGAGGUAGUUGGUGCAAACCCUAUUGCAGGUGCUUCCUUUCGCAAAUCUGCUUCCUUGGAAGAGUGUGUGUUUUUUGCUUCUUCUAAUUCUGAUGAUGGCUCGGCCAUAAAUGCUGCAAUGCCUCACUCACUUGAUGCUGAUCAUGACUAAGUUGCCUCCUCUGAUCAGCAGCACCAAAAUGUGCUCAACAUUUCCUUUGAACAUGUUGCUUCAGCUCAUGAUAUGUCACAAACUCCACCUCUUUGUCCUAUUUCCCCUGCUUAUUUUGCUAAUCUUUGCUUGGAAGAUGAAUGUGCAGGUGACAAUAUGGUGAAGGGUAAUUCAUCGAGGCAUUGCCAACACUUUAAGGAAAAUUCUUUGCCAAAAGAUGAGAAGCCUGUUGACUGAAAAUCUGUUGAAGUAGCAAAGGUUGAGACUGCAGCAGAAGCUGCUCCCAAGAAAACUAAAGAAGCACCUGCUGCUGUAGAAGAUAGCAGUGAAGCUCGCACCCUCUGCUCCAGCUGUUGGGAGCAGUGAGGCUCAAGCUGAUGAUGCUCAAACAAGCAAUGAGGAUGCUGCUCCAGCAGCUGAGGAAAGCAGUGAAGCUGCAGAGCAAAAAGAAGCUCUAAAGCAAGAAGAAGCUAGAAAAUAUAAUGGUCAUUUUACUUAAAAAAAAAAAAAAGUUAAAUGAGAUUAUCGAUUAUGCUUUAGAUUGUUACUAGGUGUACUAAAACCUAUUAGCUCAAGUGGUAGAGCAUUAUGCAAAUGCAUAGGGGAUGUAGGUUCAA
Molecule: long non-coding RNA, 1064 nt
Organism: Chenopodium quinoa (quinoa)
Lineage: Eukaryota; Viridiplantae; Streptophyta; Magnoliopsida; Caryophyllales; Amaranthaceae
Exons: 3
Source: RefSeq, a predicted model, not a curated record